CAGUAGCCGCGGUAAUACGAAGGGUGCAAGCGUUACUCGGAAUUACUGGGCGUAAAGCGUGCGUAGGUGGUGGUUUAAGUCCGUUGUGAAAGCCCUGGGCUCAACCUGGGAAUUGCAGUGGAUACUGGAUCACUAGAGUGUGGUAGAGGAUAGUGGAAUUUCCGGUGUAGCAGUGAAAUGCGUAGAGAUCGGAAGGAACAUCUGUGGCGAAGGCGACUAUCUGGGCCAACACUGACACUGAGGCACGAAAGCGUGGGGAGCAAACAGGAUUAGAUACCCCCGUAGUCCCUGUCUCUUAUAA
Molecule: ribosomal RNA, 301 nt
Filed under: uncultured bacterium
Lineage: Bacteria
Description: partial 16S ribosomal RNA
Rfam family: Bacterial small subunit ribosomal RNA
Source: RNAcentral